This 25-nucleotide ribosomal RNA is filed under the name Agroathelia rolfsii. Its description in RNAcentral is "Athelia rolfsii partial 28S ribosomal RNA". The record is from RNAcentral. Lineage: Eukaryota; Fungi; Basidiomycota; Agaricomycetes; Amylocorticiales; Amylocorticiaceae.
UUGACCUCAAAUCAGGUAGAACUAC